GAUCAUGGCUCAGGAUGAACGCUAGCUACAGGCUUAACACAUGCAAGGUCGAGGGGCAUCGAGAGGAAGCUUGCUUCCUGUCGGCGACCGGCGCACGGGUGAGUAACGCGUAUCCAACCUUCCCUUAGUAGGGCAUAGCCCGGCGAAAGUCGGAUUAAUACCCUAUGUUUUUCCGAUGAGGACAUCUGAGCUGGAAUAAAGAUUUAUCGCUAAGGGAUGGGGAUGCGUCUGAUUAGGUAGUCGGCGGGGUAACGGCCCACCGAGCCAACGAUCAGUAGGGGUUCUGAGAGGAAGGUCCCCCACAUUGGUACUGAGACACGGACCAAACUCCUACGGGAGGCAGCAGUGAGGAAUAUUGGUCAAUGGGCGAGAGCCUGAACCAGCCAAAAGUAGCGUGCAGGAUGACGGCCCUAUGGGUUGUAAACUGCUUUUAUCGGGGGAUAAAGUGAGGGACGCGUCCCUUUUUGUAGGUACCCGAUGAAUAAGGACCGGCUAAUUCCGUGCCAGCAGCGGC
RNAcentral lists this ribosomal RNA (514 nucleotides) under uncultured bacterium. Its description in RNAcentral is "bacterial SSU rRNA". It matches the Rfam family "Bacterial small subunit ribosomal RNA", at positions 15 to 518 of the family's 1533-position model. The record is from RNAcentral.